Lontra canadensis (Northern American river otter) is the source of this 1496-nucleotide long non-coding RNA. RefSeq lists it as uncharacterized. The transcript has 6 exons. Lineage: Eukaryota; Metazoa; Chordata; Mammalia; Carnivora; Mustelidae. The record is from RefSeq and is a predicted model, not a curated record.
GGGUGGCGCCUCCGGGGGCGGGAGCAGAGAGACAAGGAAAUGCUGUCACCGCCGUUAACACGCACGUGGAGGUUUGUUAAAGGUAGUUGGGAGUCUAGUUCCUAGGUAAUGCCAGCCAUAGCUGAGGGCCAGGGGAGCAGGUGGCUGUGCAAAGCCACUUCCAGCCUGUGGUCAAAGGGCUGAGACAUGGAAAAUCUACCAGUGCCCAUUCCGGCUUAGGCCUGGCUGGGGCAGGCUUGGGUCAAGUCCUCUCUGUAGUCCCGGUUUCCACCAACAUCAGGAAGGGGAGCCGCAAGAACCAUCUAGGCAGGCGCCCGGGGACUGUGUCAGGAAGACCUGGGUUUAAGCCCUGCCUCCAUCAAUCUCAAGAUGCGGGACCUCAGGGAAGGGAGGAGAGGUACCACCAAGGAUAUGCACGGAAGCCGCCAUCACCCGACUUCCUCAUCUGUCAGCCAGAAGCCAAGCCAGCCGGGAAAGAAGCGUCUCUCAGCCAGGAUCCCUGACAAGGACAUGCCUGCUCCGUGGGGAAGUCUUAGGUACUAUACACUUGGCCUUCACCACAAAAGCCCCGCGGCCCAGAGCCAAGGCGUUCCAACCAUUUAGACCACGAACCACACUUAUAAAAACAGUUUACGUGAGGACCCAGUGUGUGCACACCCACACGCUUCCCUGUCCUGGGCUCAUGCGGUGAGUCUCCUGAAAUACAAUCUGCUCUUACUAUGUGUGAUGGGCUUCGGUAUUUUUCUACUCUACUUCGUUUUUUUAAAUGCUGGUAGUGACUCACUCAAUUGGUUCUGUGCCCUAGAGAAUGGAAAAUGUGGCUUUAGAGUAGCUGAUCCACUACCCAAGCUUGGAAAACCAGGCGAAGACCAAGCAAAGUUCAACUCGCAGAUGUCACAAAACAGAGAAGGAUGAUAGCGUUCUUACCCUGGACUCAAAUCAGUUUGGAGAUGGGGCUGGGAUCAGAGCGAUUCUUCAGUUAGGAAGUUAAAGCAGCAUUUACUGAAGCAAGCGGCCAGAACUGCUGGGGCUGACAUUGUACCUUUUCUGUUUGGUUUCAUUUUCCUCCCCAGCCGGCUCCUGAAAUAACCCUCUAGCUCUCAAACCAAUGUUUGUAAGUAUCUCUCCGAGUGUCCCUCUGAGCUUUGUGGCCCCUGGGCUGCGGCUUGGGCGACCAAAGCAGAGACUGAUCUCCCUGUCAUUGCAGAAUUAUAUCCGGGGAUUAACCAUGAAAGGGAAAAAAAGCAGCAUUUCCAGUUGGGUGUUUGAAAAUGAAAAGUGGUUCAGAAGGAGCGCAGAUACGUAACUGCAAGACUGUGAUCAAAGGCACUUUGAACCUCAUUAAUUUGGAACUUUGUAUUUAAACGUGUAAUUUGGACAUAAGUUGUGCUUAAAUCUGUCUUCGUACUAUUCACAGCGAGGCUAACUAGCGUAUGAAAACUGCAAAGGGACCCCGGGGCAUCAUCACGCAAUUGUUUUUAUGCCACUUCUACCAU